GGAGGGAUGCGAGAGUGGACGAUCCGGCGCGUCUCGAAAACGCGUGUGCAGAAAUGCACCGUGGGUUCGAAUCCCACUCCCUCCGCCA
RNAcentral lists this transfer RNA (88 nucleotides) under Anaerolineae bacterium. Its description in RNAcentral is "tRNA-Ser". It matches the Rfam family "tRNA". From Rfam's summary of the family: Transfer RNA (tRNA) molecules are approximately 80 nucleotides in length. RNAcentral also lists the same sequence under 1 other name. The record is from RNAcentral. Lineage: Bacteria; Bacillati; Chloroflexota; Anaerolineae.